AGACAUCACAAAUCCGACAUGCCCAUGCUCUCUGUUGUAGACCUGUGCAGGGAACCAAAACUUGCCACCCUCAAGCGCGAGAUACCACGACAUAAUCGACUCAUCAGGGAGAGAAGGGCUCCUCAUCUUGCCAUCGAACCUGAUAGAUUUGAUCAAGGACAGAGGCCACAAACAAGCCAGAGCCCCCGCCCAUGACCGCACUCCCCCACGGCCAGCAGAAGCUUCCUUCUUCGAGGUCAAAUACAACUCCCACUGCCUCCGCGCCGCGCCUCCUAUCACCUUCCCCCACUUCUCCCCCAUAUGCCUCUCCCACAGGUAAUCACUCCUACACCUCUCCCUCAAAGAGCUACACACACCAGCCAUAUUGCACAGUCCAACCGGGGACAGCUUCUCCAGAAUCAACUCCAU
RNAcentral lists this unclassified non-coding RNA (408 nucleotides) under Hevea brasiliensis (rubber tree). The record is from RNAcentral. Lineage: Eukaryota; Viridiplantae; Streptophyta; Magnoliopsida; Malpighiales; Euphorbiaceae.